GUGAUUCUUCUCUUUUUGUGAGCGACUGGUGGUUGCUCUAUUCCUGGGUGACUGGUUGUUACCCCUGCUUUUUUUUUUGUUUUUUCUUCAUUAUAUUUUUGCUAAUUCAUCAAAAUAACACAGAGCUGCACUCAAACAGGUAAACAGGUAGCAAGCUGCUCCCUCACCGACCCACAAAAAGGCUUACGAAUCAUUCAAACGAACAUUCCGAAAUUCUCGGAGGGAAAUGGAGCUCAACUUCGGAAGUGGCUGCAGAAUUACACCAAAGUUUUUUUCGACUGGGAAUUCCAAAGGACACUGGAGCACGUCUACUUCUGUUCUGCCUCGAGAGCGCGACAAAAACUCAUUUUGAAGGCCUUGAUUCUCAAAGUGCAGACCUGGGAGCUAGCUUCACAACAAUUGACCGAUGCUUUCAACAUGCCAGGAAAAAUCGAAAUCACUCAAUGUGAGUUGUCAGAUCUGCAAACUCCGAGUGAAACGAGCCGAAAGAAUUGAUCGACUUCGAAAGCAGAAAAAGGAAGAAAAAAUAAGGAAAUCGACGAUGACGUCCUAGUGGCGGCAAUGACAAAAUUGUUGGAUACAGCAGUCAUUCAAACCUUAUAGUUCAGUUCUAUUGUUUACUAUUCACUCUACUACUAUUAUUGCAUUUUUUAUCUGUGUUUGUAGAGUAGGGGUCCUUUUUUAACCAAAUGUAUUAAAUAAAAAAUUUAGCAAUAAUAAACAUAUAAA
Molecule: non-coding RNA, 729 nt
Organism: Caenorhabditis elegans
Lineage: Eukaryota; Metazoa; Nematoda; Chromadorea; Rhabditida; Rhabditidae
Source: Ensembl